GUGUCAGCAGCCGCGGUAAUACAGAGGUCCCAAGCGUUGAUCGGAUUCACUGGGCGUAAAGGGUGCGUAGGUGGUUUGGUAAGUCUGAUGUGAAAUCUCCGAGCUUAACUCGGAAAUGGCAUUGGAUACUAUCGAGCUAGAGGAUUGGAGGGGAGACUGGAAUUCUCGGUGUAGCAGUGAAAUGCGUAGAUAUCGAGAGGAACACCAGUGGCGAAGGCGAGUCUCUAGACAAUUCCUGACACUGAGGCACGAAAGCUAGGGGAGCAAACAGGAUUAGAAACCCUGGUAGUCC
RNAcentral lists this ribosomal RNA (292 nucleotides) under uncultured bacterium. RNAcentral's name for it is "partial 16S ribosomal RNA". It matches the Rfam family "Bacterial small subunit ribosomal RNA", at positions 505 to 796 of the family's 1533-position model. The record is from RNAcentral.